Molecule: ribosomal RNA, 467 nt
Filed under: uncultured bacterium
Lineage: Bacteria
Description: partial 16S ribosomal RNA
Rfam family: Bacterial small subunit ribosomal RNA
Source: RNAcentral
GACGAACGCUGGCGGCGUGCUUAACACAUGCAAGUCGAACGGAAAGGCUCCAGCUUGCUGGAGUACUCGAGUGGCGAACGGGUGAGUAACACGUGGGUAAUCUGCCCUGCACUCUGGGAUAAGCCUGGGAAACUGGGUCUAGUACUGGAUAUGACCUUUCUCCUUAUGGGGUUUGGUGGAAAGUUUUUCGGUGUAGGAUGAGCCCGCGGCCUAUCAGCUUGUUGGUGGGGUGAUGGCCUACCAAGGCGACGACGGGUAGCCGGCCUGAGAGGGUGAUCGGCCACAUUGGGACUGAGAUACGGCCCAGACUCCUACGGGAGGCAGCAGUGGGGAAUAUUGCACAAUGGGCGGAAGCCUGAUGCAGCGACGCCGCGUGAGGGAUGACGGCCUUCGGGUUGUAAACCUCUUUCAGCAGGAACGAAGCGUAAGUGACGGUACCUGCAGAAGAAGCACCGGCUAACUAUGUG